UUUUUCUAUCUACCUGCCAUUUUGACUAACACUCUCCUAUCUUGAUGGAUGACAUCCCCAUCCUGAGCUGCACUCUCUCCAAAAGAAUCCAACUUUUGCUGCCAAAUCUGCCUGAGAGACAUAAAACAGAUCAUCUGUCUCCUUGGAAACUGCACACUCCUCCAACCAGCGUCUGGCUGACUCCACAAAGCAUUACUUCAUCUGUACCUGAGACCGCCCAUGAUGCCACUCCUACCAGGACCGUCCAUCCUUCAUCAUAGGAAAAUCGUCACAACCAAGAAUAUAAUCUAUUGUUUCAUCCCUUUAAUUUUUGCCGUCACCCAUAGCAACCUGGAAUUAUGUUUGCCACAACAGGAGCCAUUUCUUCUUCUAUUUCUGGAGGUACUGAUAAUAUGCUUUACUUCAGUUCAUUCAGGAGGAACAUUGUCACUGUCACAAAUAUGCAUGUUAUUCACAUAUGUGCAAUAGGGGUAUAUUGGUGAAAUUUCCCUUUAACUGUGUGGGUAAGGGAUUAUGGAAUGUGGGUGAUGAUAUCUGGUCUUCGUCACUGGAACAUCCCCUAUCCGGUGCUGGUGUUAUCCAUGUAUAUGAUGUACACCAAUUAUAUAUACCCUAUACACAGGGGACUGCUAUGUCUCUGCCCCGGAGUGUAUGCUCUGUAUGGAUCAGUGGCGACACUAUUUCUCUUGAUAUGCAUAUUUCAAUAUGGCUGAAAAUCAAUUUACCUGCUGAGCAAAUCUUGCAACUGAAGCACCGAUGUACUUCAUUUAACCAAAGAUGCUAUACUAAUCCCGUUGCUAAGGACGCUUGUCUCUAUGCGGAAUUGCCCUUCUGCUGUGCGUCUCUAAGAAUGCUCUCUUGCUAAAAGUGAGCAUGCACGAAGAACGAUGCUAGAUGCGGCAACACAUAGGUUGCUAUGGACGCUCUGUGACGGAGUCUGAACACCGGAAGUCGAUUUUUUAUCACUGUGUGAGGCUGAAACCAUGUGUAUUCGGCAUCCCGGAAGGAGGGUGUCAUGGUAGCGGCUCAGGAGGACCGGACUGGGACUGAGAUUUGGACCCGGGCCCUAGAAAGCACAUGGACUCACCUGCUGCAUGUUUGUAGGUUUCAAGAACGCACGAUUCUAUCUCGCCUCGCAAGAUAGAUUGGGACGCGUAUGGACAAGAACUAUUGCGAUGGACUAAACAGAACGGGAUGAUAAGAAUCGACAGCAGAGCGGACAAGUUAUUGGCUACGUUUUAAACCGGGGAGCAGCAGAUAUCUUGUAAAUGAAUGCUAUGUAUAUCAUUACGUCAUUGCACUAUUUACAAAUGGGAAUGAAUAAAAUAAAUAAAUAACUAAAUCCUUAAAUAAAUAAACAAACAAAUGCAAACAAACAAAUAAACAAAUAUUUAUGUUUUAUCUGCAAUUUCUAUUCAACGGAAGUGAUACAAUAAAAUCCUCUCCGUCUGUAACUGCUGAUAGAGAAUGAUACUGCAGUCAAGCUGAUACCUAUACGGUAUAUUGGCUUAAUGAUACAUUAACUUGCAUUAAAAAAAAAAAAUGGCGUCACAAUUGUAUAGAUAAAACAUGUCAAUUUUCCUUAAUGAACUUCGCCGCUUAUCUGCUUUAUGUUUUAUAUAGUAAUAUCUAAACAAUUAGAAAUUUUCCAAGGCGAUCGGAUCAUCUAUUGAUCGGAUCUUUUAGCUUAGUGUUUCCCAACCAGGGUGCCUCCAGCUGUUGCGAAACUACAACUCCCAGCAUGCCUGGACAGCCGUCGG
Hyla sarda is the source of this 1760-nucleotide long non-coding RNA. RefSeq lists it as uncharacterized. NCBI's taxonomy places the organism in Eukaryota, Metazoa, Chordata, Amphibia, Anura, Hylidae. The transcript is spliced from 5 exons. The record is from RefSeq and is a predicted model, not a curated record.